Megalobrama amblycephala (Wuchang bream) is the source of this 5552-nucleotide RNA transcript. It is a transcript of the gene named sema domain, immunoglobulin domain (Ig), transmembrane domain (TM) and short cytoplasmic domain, (semaphorin) 4Ga, with no coding region annotated. The transcript has 16 exons. The record is from RefSeq and is a predicted model, not a curated record. Lineage: Eukaryota; Metazoa; Chordata; Actinopteri; Cypriniformes; Xenocyprididae.
AUUCACAAGUGUGUGUUUUGUAGUGAGCAUCAGUCUAUCCUGCUCUUUGAUCUAUGCAACAUCAUAUUCAACACAGUGAAUAGAUUGCAUGUUUUAACAGUGCCCUUUGUUUAUUAUAAUUGUGUAAGUGUGCUUUUUCCAAUAGAUAGCGAAGGAAUGCGGUAACUCAAAUGUUUUUGGUGUGUUUUUUUUUUCACCAAUAAUGCCGUCCGUCAGAAGCGUGUUUGUUGUGAGAUGCAGAAGUGGCGCAGGAGGGCGUACAGUAGCUACCUGUGACGAGACGAGGCUCGCGCCGCGGGCACGCACUGCACAGCACAGCGACUAUCACAGCCGAGUUCAUUCCGCGCCUCUGCUCUUUCUCACGUUCCUUGGCUUUACAGUAACUACUAGCCGAUUUUCCUUCGAUUUUGGACGGUUUGUGACGAAAGCCAUUUCAAGUGAACCGCUUGAGGGAAGGACAGCUGUUUUACUUUUUAGUGAAGAAGAGUAAACAGCAUUUGUGCACACCAGAGGAAAGAGUCUUAAGAGACGGCCUGAGUGACUUCCUGCUCCCUUAAGAGGGGGGGUGAGCGGCGGUCUUGUGGUACUCACUCACCCCUCCUAGUAAGACUGAAAAUGAUGACCCAUAGUGCAUGGCUGCUGUUCCUGCUGUUGCUGUGUAUUGUGUCCACUCUGUGGGGUUACCCCUUCAGACCCCCGCUAGAUCUGGAUGUGACCCCCAGAACUACGGUCUUCUCCAAUGGGCUGUUGGGCUGCAGGCGCUUCAGAGGCUUGACUCUGAACUACAGUUUAUUGCUGCUGGAGGAGGAGGCAGGCGUGCUGUACGUGGGAGCUAGAGGGGCUUUAUAUGCCCUGCAGGCUAGUGACAUCUCCAGCAGCUCUCCGCAGACCAUUGACUGGGAGGCAUCAGACGAUCAGAAGCAACAAUGCUUGAACAAAGGGAAAGAUAACAAGACGGAGUGUUACAACCACAUACGAUUCCUGCAGAGGUUCAACAGCACACACUUGUACACUUGUGGUACACAUGCUUUCAGCCCUCUAUGUGCAUACAUUGAUGCGAGGGAGUUUAAAAUCUCAUCAGCCUUCGAGGAGGGUCGAGAGAAGUGUCCAUAUGACCCCACCAAAGGCUACACUGGCCUGCUAAUUGAUCAGCAGAUGUACACAGCAUCUCAGUAUGAGUUCCGGAGCUUUCCAGAUAUCCGACGCAACUCUCCGAAUCCCACAUUGAAAACAGAAGAGGCUCCAACUCAGUGGCUACAGGAAGCUGAUUUUGUGGGCUCAGCGCUGGUGAAGGAGAGUGUGAACAGCUCAGUGGGAGAUGACGAUAAGAUUUACUUCUUCUUCACCGAGAAGAGCCAAGAGCUCAGUCCAUACUUCAGUCACAGCAGAGUAGCACGGGUCGCACGUGUGUGCAAGAGAGACAGAGGAGGUCUUCUCACGCUACAGAAGAAGUGGACCUCUUUCCUGAAGGCACGUCUGGCAUGUUCUUUACCGGACUAUGAAUUUCACUUCAACGUGUUGCGGAGUGUGUUUUUUCUGGAGGGCUCCAGCUCUCAAGACUCUGUUUUCUACGGCAUCUUUGGCCUGGAAUGGAAAAACGUAAAGGCAUCUGCUAUCUGCCAGUACUCCAUUUCGGAUAUCCAAUGGGCCUUUGAGGGGCCUUACAUGGAGAGCAAAGAAGACUCCAGCUCCAAAUGGACAGAGUACACAGGGAAGGUGCCAGAACCUCGACCCGGCUCGUGCAUCACAGAUCAACUCAGAGCAAGAGGCAUCAACUCUUCCACCAACCUGCCAGAUGACGUACUUCAUUUUGUCCGUCGCCAUCCGCUCAUGUACAGGCAGAUCCUUCCUCAAGGACAACGCCCCCUGCUGUUUAGGAGAAAUGUGGACUACACUAAAAUCGCUGUACACAGAGUGACUGGUCUAGAUGGUCAGCUAUACCACAUACUCUUCAUUGGGACAGAUGAAGGCUGGCUACAGCGGGCUGUAAAGGUUAAUGGUCAGCUGCACAUCAUUGAGGAGCUGCAGCUGUUUGAGGAGCCCCAGCCAGUGGACAGUAUAGUCAUCUCUGAGAAACAGAUGAGUGUGUAUGUGGGUUCGGCCAGCUCAGUGGUGCAGUUGCCCUUGUCCACAUGCAGCAGAUAUUCCUCGUGCUUCGACUGCGUGAUGGCACGUGAUCCUUUCUGUGCCUGGGAUGGACUGGAGUGUGUGGACAUUACAUCACACAACAGCAGAGCUAAUCUGACACAGGAUAUUCUGAAUGGAAACAAGGGCUGUGAGGAAUCCACAGCAGAUGAUCAAGUGUUACACCGCUCUCGCUCUGUGAUGGCGGGCGAUGACGUGCUGCUUCAGUGUGAGCUCAGCUCCAAUCUGGCAACCCCCGAGUGGACGCUGGAUGGAAAGAAACUGCAGGGUUACGGACUGGACUCUGGCUACCGCGUCGGCACUGAUGGUCUCCUAGUCAUCGAAGCACGGUCUUACCAAAGUGGCCACUACUGCUGCUUCGCCCUGGAAAAUGGUGUCCAUGUUCCUGUGGUGAUCUACAGCUUGACAGUUCGCCAGGGGCUUCCUGCACUUCCUCCUGUGGAGCCAACGCAGCCGCACUUGACCACAGCAAUCUACUGGACCUCUCAGACUUCCCAAAGUGACUCCCCAGAGGACUUCCAUCCAACCCCAAUGUCUCCUCGCUUCGAGUUCCUGUCCGUGAGGAACAUGGAAGCCAUGUACCUAUCCCUAAUCACAAUCCUAGGAGGCCUUUGUUUUGUUCUAACAGUCGUCCUUCUUUACGUGGGAUUCUGUUUGCAAGGGCGAAGAGGUAAAUACUCUUUGCGGGCCGCUGCUCAUGUCGAAAGGAAGCGAGGUGCCCACAUGGAGCUCAAGACCAUCUCCAGCCACUGCAACGGGAAAGCCGACGCUCAUGACGGCUUGCUGCAGAUCGUUCCCGGAGAAGCAGCAACGUCACCCAACAAAGAGCUUCCUCCCGCUCCACCUCUCCCACCGCCUCCAGAUUCAGAGUACGUCAACGGACUCUCUGCCACCUUACCUAGCGUCUUACGCAAGAUGAAUGGAAACAGCUAUGUGUUACUGAGACAGACCGAUGGAGAUACCACGUCUCCGCUCUAUUACUCCUUCACGGAGGAGCUCAACAGGAUCCUGGAGAAGAGGAAGCACACGCAACUGUGUAGUAAACCUGAUGAGAGCUCGGUGUGAACCUUACCUACCCUGUGAAGAGGUUUUUCAACUGCUGGUGUCCUCUAAAGUGUUCAAGGGCAGUAUCAUUGUCUAAUAUCCCCUUUUCACCCAGACUAACUUUAAUGGGAUGCCAAUAAGUAGCCGCAACAGCAGCUUUUAUUGGAAGAUAAACAAAACAUUGGUGUUCCUCUAAAAGGACAAACUGCCUCUCCGUUUACAUUUCAAAUGUAGAGCUUUUGACUUUCAACAGACUGAGGAAUGCCCACUGGUUACAAAAUAGCAAAGAACGAACACAUGGAAAUUCUACCUCAGCAAAUUAUAUCACACAGCUCUCGGCUUAUUUCAGCGUGCUUGUGUUAAAAUUCGGGUUGGAUUUGGGGAUGUAUAGUUAGGGACACGCAGCAAGGGUAUCUUCAAAGCAAACGAGCCCAUCUGGGAGAAUCAAGUAAAUGAUUCCGUUACAGACUGGUUGGAAGAGACGUUUACAAGGCAGCAUUGUAAAAAAAGUUACAAGAUGAACUGAGAUGGAGGUUUGCGCUUGGACGAAGCAAGUCGUGUGAAAACUCUUAGUGCCGUCAAGCACUGAAUGUCUUUGCAUAUCUCCUUUAUUUUAGUAUUUCUAAUUUAUGCCAACACUGACCAUAUCAGUAACAGCUUGUAAUACUAAUCAUGAUUAAGAACAGCAGGGAUAUCAGACUUUAAAUACAAUGAGAAAUGCACUUGAUGGUACUAAUUGUGUAAAUAAGGCUUUUAUUAAUAGUUUCACAGGGGUGGGAACUAGGGAAGAUGACAGUAUUAACCACUGAGAUGCACUUUAUGGACCGGUAGCAUUUGUUUUUUCCAUGAGGUGCUGCUAAUUCUGACAGAUCUGGAGAGGAUGGAAUGGAUCACAAGGACGGGAAGAUUGCGAAUGAUUAUGAAAGUGACAAUACAAUAAAAUUGAAAAUGCUGCGAAAGGGAAGACUACAGUGUGUGGACAGAAUGAGUACCUGUAUAACCCUGAGAAAUGGACCACUGAACACGCUAAGUCGGGAUUUGUCUGAUUCGGAUCUGUAUGUUUCUUGCUUAUGCACAAGAACUGACAUGAUUCCUCAUUGGAUUCCUUCAUCAGAAUUCCAGAGCCAUUGGCUGCUAGGUUUCAAGGGCAACCACAAAGCAGAGAUGUCAAGAGAGCAGGACCAGCUUCUGUUUGAUGCACAGUCCCAAGAAGUGAAAUGAACAGAACAAGACAACAAGAACAUGACAUUAUCAGACAUUUCAGUCCUUACAAAACAAUAGAUCUCUUUGCCGCUUAAUCCAUAAAGCAUAAUGGAGUCACUGCUGAGGUAUAUGGGAGAAUUGUUAUUGAUCGAGUGUGUUAUUUUGUUGUUGUACCAUUUUAGCCAUUUUCAAUAUGAACUAAAUACUUAGUAAAUAAUUAAAGAGGUUUAUGCCCUGUAUAGAUGACCAGAAAAUACUUAUAUUGAGUUUAAUUUGUCCCUUUUCAGUCAUACAUACUUUCUUCCAGUACAUACAAUAUAAUUAAAAAAUGUGUCAAUGGAAAUAUUUAUUUUAUAGCUUUGUACAGUUUUGUGUGUAUUUAUUUCAUGUUUCAAACUAGGAUUUUCUAAAUUGUAGUUGGUUAAUGGUGCAUGGCUAUGCAUUUUUGCAAACAUUAUUUACAAUUUUUGAAAAAACAAAACAAACAACUAUAGAUAUAAUAAUAUAGAUGAUGCUGAUGAUAAUAAUAACAAUAUAAAUGAAAUACCCUAAUAAUUCUAAUAAAGCAUGUUAAAAUUCCUAUUAUUACAGUAUUUUCCAAAAUUGUAAAAUCUGUUUCCAGUUGUAUAUGUGCUAAAAUGUUACACAACAUUCCAAAUAAGAUUGUAUUCUUCCUAUUUCUUGUGUUUGGAAAAUAUUGUUAAAUCUCCUGCAGAGCAGACCAUGUCUCCGAGUCACUUCAGUACACAGUUGUAUGCCUCUUCAGUCGUGGGUAGGUUUGUGUGGGCUGCCUCUGGAACUGCAUUUAAUGAAGCUGGUUAGACCUAUGCCUGUCACCAUGGUGAAAAGACCAUAGAAUUAUUAUGGAUUUGCUUAGUGUUUAAUUCUUUACUGCUCUCUCCAUGCAAGAAACAUCUUGCCCCCCGUGUUUGUUCAGACAGUCAAAGCCCAAGGUAUACAUUUAAUGUGUAUAUCUUUCCCUUUGUCCAAGGGCAAAUUGUUAUGUUUUGUGUUUAAUUAACAGUAAUCCCACAGGGACAUGCUUGCAGGGGAGGAGGCUGAGAAGUGUGAAUCCAUUAUGUUCAACAUUGGAAACUUGUAAGUCUGACAUUUGAUUUGUUUACGUAGUAAAUUCUUUUAAUAAACAGUAUUAAAGUUUC